Molecule: non-coding RNA, 186 nt
Filed under: Aurantiochytrium limacinum
Lineage: Eukaryota; Bigyra; Thraustochytrida; Thraustochytriidae
Source: RNAcentral
UUGAAAAUAGCUUCAACGGCAAGGCAAGAAAGAGAAAAGAAGAAGAAGGAAACCAAGUAAGCGAAGUAUGUCACUAGGGGAGUACUAUCCUAAACAUAAGGGUGACACACUAACCGUGAGAAGCUUUGUUUUUCUUCUUUUUGUUUAGAACUAUUUUUUUCUUCAAUUUUCUUCUCAUCCUCUUCG